AGAGUUUGAUCCUGGCUCAGGACGAACGCUGGCGGCGGGCUUAACACAUGCAAGUCGAAGGAGAAGGCGAGUGCUUGCACUUGCCGGAGACUGGCGCACGGGUGAGUAACGCGUAGACAACCUGCCUAUAACUGGGGGAUAACAUACCGAAAGGUGUGCUAAUACCGCAUAUUGCCAACGCCUCGCAUGAGGGGUUGGUGAAAGACUUCGGUUGGUUAUAGAUGGGUCUGCUUGCCAUUAGUUAGUUGGUGGGGUAAAAGCCUACCUUGGCCAUGAUGGCUAGGGGGUCUGAUAUGAUGAUCCCCCCCCCUGGGACUGACACACGGCCCAAACUCCUACGGGAGGCAGCAGUGAAGAAUCUUGCCCAAUGGGGGUAACCCGGACGCAUCCUUCCUGCGUGCCUUCAUCACACCUCUAUGGGUUGUAAACGGCUUUUACAUGGGAAGAAAGUGCAGGUUUCGACCAGCAUUGACGGUACCAUUUGAAUAAGCACCGGCUAACUCCGUGCCAGCAGCCGCGGUAAUACGGAGGGUGCAAGCGUUGUCCGGAAUCAUUGGGUGUAAAGGGUGCGUAGGCCGGCGCCUAAGUCUGAGGUGAAAUCUUGCCGCUUAACGGUAAAAUUGCCUUGAAUACUGGGUGUCUUGAAUCUGACAGAGGUCGGUGGAAUUCGUGGUGUAGCGGUGAAAUGCAUAGAUAUCACGAAGAACAUCAGUGGCGAAGGCGGCCCGGCUGGGUCAGUAUUGACGCUGAGCACGAGAGCGUGGGGAGCGAACAGGAUUAGAUACCCUGUAGUCCACGCUGUAAACCAUGUAUGCUAGCGCGCGCCUCUCGGGUCCUGACGCAGUUAACGCAGUAAGCAUACCACCUGGGGAGUACGUUCGCAAGAAUGAAACUCAAAGGAAUUGACGGGGGCCCGCACAAGCGGUGGAAGCAUGUGGCUUAAUUCGAUGCAACGCGAAGAACCUUACCCGGGCUAAAUCUCCGGCGACCGGUCCCGAAACGGACCUUCCCUUCGGGGCGCCGGCGAAGGUGCUGCAUGGCUGUCGUCAGCUCGUGCCGUGAGGUGUUGCCUUAAGUGGCGCAACGAGCGCAACCCCUGUGGUUAGUUACCAGCACGUAAUGGUGGGGACUCUAGCCAGACUGCCUACGCAAGUAGUGAGGAAGGUGGGGACGACGUCAAGUCAUCAUGACCCUUAUGUCCGGGGCUGCACACGUGCUACAAUGGAUGGUACAGAGGGAAGCCACCCCGCGAGGGGGUGCAGAUCUCGAAAGCCAUUCCCAGUUCGGAUUGGAGUCUGCAACUCGACUCCAUGAAGGUGGAAUCGCUAGUAAUCGCGUAUCAGCAAUGACGCGGUGAAUACGUUCCCGGGCCUUGUACACACCGCCCGUCAAGCGAUGGAAGUCAGGAGUACCUGAUGUCGCCACAGCAAGUGGUGCCUAGGGUAAGCUUGGCAACUGGCGCUAAGUCGUAACAAGGUAGCCGU
Molecule: ribosomal RNA, 1484 nt
Filed under: uncultured Bacteroidota bacterium
Lineage: Bacteria; Pseudomonadati; Bacteroidota
Description: bacterial SSU rRNA
Rfam family: Bacterial small subunit ribosomal RNA
Source: RNAcentral